This 429-nucleotide ribosomal RNA is filed under the name bacterium. RNAcentral's name for it is "partial 16S ribosomal RNA". It matches the Rfam family "Bacterial small subunit ribosomal RNA", at positions 355 to 776 of the family's 1533-position model. The record is from RNAcentral.
UAGGGAAUCUUCGGCAAUGGGGGCAACCCUGACCGAGCAACGCCGCGUGAGUGAAGAAGGUUUUCGGAUCGUAAAGCUCUGUUGUAAGAGAAGAACGUGUGUGAGAGUGGAAAGUUCACACAGUGACGGUAACUUACCAGAAAGGGACGGCUAACUACGUGCCAGCAGCCGAGGUAAUACGUAGGUCCCGAGCGUUGUCCGGAUUUAUUGGGCGUAAAGCGAGCGCAGGCGGGUUAAUAAGUCUGAAGUUAAAGGCAGUGGCUUAACCAUUGUUCGCUUUGGAAACUGUUAAACUUGAGUGCAGAAGGGGAGAGUGGAAUUCCAUGUGUAGCGGUGAAAUGCGUAGAUAUAUGGAGGAACACCGGUGGCGAAAGCGGCUCUCUGGUCUGUAACUGACGCUGAGGCUCGAAAGCGUGGGGAGCAAACCGG